AGUGGACGCUGGCGGCAGGCCUAACACAUGCAAGUCGAACGGCAGCACAAGAGAGCUUGCUCUCUGGGUGGCGAGUGGCGGACGGGUGAGGAAUGCAUCGGAAUCUGCCCAUUUGUGGGGGAUAACCUCGGGAAACCGGGACUAAUACCGCAUACGACCUACGGGUGAAAGCAGGGGAUCUUCGGACCUUGCGCAGAUGGAUGAGCCGAUGCCGGAUUAGCUAGUUGGAGGGGUAAAGGCCCACCAAGGCGACGAUCCGUAGCUGGUCUGAGAGGAUGAUCAGCCACACUGGGACUGAGACACGGCCCAGACUCCUACGGGAGGCAGCAGUGGGGAAUAUUGGACAAUGGGCGCAAGCCUGAUCCAGCCAUGCCGCGUGUGUGAAGAAGGCCUUCGGGUUGUAAAGCACUUUUGUUGGGAAAGAAAAGCAGCCGGUUAAUACCCGGUUGUCAUGACGGUACCCAAAGAAUAAGCACCGGCUAACUUCGUG
This 490-nucleotide ribosomal RNA is filed under the name uncultured bacterium. RNAcentral's name for it is "partial 16S ribosomal RNA". It matches the Rfam family "Bacterial small subunit ribosomal RNA", at positions 29 to 507 of the family's 1533-position model. The record is from RNAcentral.